GCCAGGCAUGGUGGCGUGUGCCUGUAAUCCCAGCUACGCAGGAGGCUGAGGUAGGAGGAUCACCUGAGGCCAGGAGGCAGAGGUUGUAGUGAGCCAAGCUCAUGCCACUGCACUCCAGCCUGGGCAACAAGGUGAGACCCUGUCUCAA
Papio anubis (olive baboon) is the source of this 148-nucleotide unclassified non-coding RNA. It matches the Rfam family "Metazoan signal recognition particle RNA". From Rfam's summary of the family: The signal recognition particle (SRP) is a universally conserved ribonucleoprotein. The record is from Ensembl. Lineage: Eukaryota; Metazoa; Chordata; Mammalia; Primates; Cercopithecidae.